This 646-nucleotide ribosomal RNA is filed under the name Rhizoctonia solani. Its description in RNAcentral is "eukaryotic LSU rRNA". The stretch from base 225 to 378 matches the Rfam family "5.8S ribosomal RNA". Lineage: Eukaryota; Fungi; Basidiomycota; Agaricomycetes; Cantharellales; Ceratobasidiaceae. The record is from RNAcentral.
AUUUGGAAUAAAAAGUUUGGUUGUAGCUGAGCCUCUAAUUAACUUGGGGGCAUGUGCACACCUUUCUCUUUCAUCCCAUACACACCUGUGCACCUGUGAGACAGAUGUUUUCUAGGAGGGAAAGAACUUUAUUGGAACCACUCUCCUUGGACUUCUGUCUACUUUAUCUAUAUAAACUCAAUUUAUUUUAAAAUGAAUGGAAUGGAUGUAACACAUUUAAUACUAAAUUUCAACCAAGGAACUCUUGGCUCUCGCAUCCAUUAAAAAAGCAACGAAAUGCCAUAAGUAAUGGGAAUUGGAAAAUUCAGUGAAUCAUCCAAUCUUUGAAAGCACCUUGGGCUCCUUGGUAUUCCUUGGAACAUACCUGUUUGAAUAUCAUGAAAUCUUCAAAAUCAAACCUUUUGGUAAAUCCAUUGGUUUUGCUUUGGUAAUGGAAGGUUAAUGCAACUUCCCACCUGCUCCUCUUUGUGCAUUAACUGGAACUCAAUGGUAAGCUUGGUUCCCAUCCACGGGAUAAAUUAAUUAUCCCUUAAGACACCCUGUUAAAAAAGGGUGGCCCAAGGAAAUGGAAAAUAACUGGUUCUAAAAGUCCAUUGGCCUGGAACAAUAAUAAUUUUAAGAUCCGAACUCCAAUCAAGGAAGAAUA